GCCCCCUCCUCUUAUCCCUCACCAUCGAUCCCCUUAUCCCUUCUCUGCACCCUCACCGUCCCGGCGAUACCUCGUUCCUCCACCUCCCCACAUGCGCCCUUUCUCUUACCAGGAAAUCCGGAAUCUCCUCAACCUCGUCCACUACCACUUUAAUGGCACCUCUCCCUCGUCUCCUACAAGCUGCAAUCGCAGUGGUAUCUUGGGCGCGCGCAGAUCUGACGCGAAACUCAACCCCGACGUCGGCCUUGUGGAAGUGGAGCGGCCAUGCGGUGGAAGGCGGUCUACUGCGGCAGCUGGAAGCACCAGCGAACCCUAGUCGCCACUGGUUACCAGCGCGGCUCCCACCUCUCCUGUUAGCUUCCUCAACAUCGUGGCUUAGUGUUGCCACGCGACCCCCUUCCAAGUUCUUUUGCCGCCUCCGCUGACGUUGUGGUCGUGGAUUCCUACAAAGGAAAGGUCGCUCGGUUCCCUCUCUCUAGUUUACGGAUGCCCUUACAAUGCAUAGGUAGUCGUUCGAAUACACUACUGCUAUUUCAUAAUCAAAUUCUGAUCUCCUUUCAUCUGCUGUAGAGAUUUGGAGCUUACUUAGCAUGCAGCAGAUUGGUUUCCCUUUUCCUUACUUUUGGCUAGGAUUACGAUUUCUGCUCCUUGUGUAUAAAUAGAUUUAUUAUUACUGCUAUAUAAACAGAUUAUGAUUUAGUUGGACUGAAUCCUUCUUAUAUUCACAAAGAUAUUUGGCGGCUUGGCAGAUGUGCCUGGUUUCCACCAUCGUGAGGCAUCGCAGCCCCACCCCAAGGUCCCUUCACUGAAGGAGAGAUCAUGUAGAAGCCAUGCCACAGCUGGCUUGAUGUGCAGGAACAAGGUUGACGCGUCUACCUGCCGCCGGCCGGACGUGUUGUGCACCCAUCAUCACCCAUCGUCUAAUACACAGUACGACCUGAUGCAUUACCGGCCCAUGAUAGCAUAGUGGACUGUAACUCUCCAGGAGGAUUUACAUGUCAGAUCCUCAGAGUUGGUUUAUGCUAGAAGCUUUCACUUUGCUGGAGUUGAUGACAUCAAGAGAAAUUGGGAAUCUGUUGGUAUGAUUGGGUAGUGGGCUACAUAGUGCUACCCACCAUAAUCCUCGCCAUGACAUGAUAGUUGCCAUCAGGAGAGUCGACGAAGAACCUGAACAGCAGCCUCAAAAGUUUGUAUGUUUUGUUGAUGUAAACUGGAUUGUAGUGCUUCUUAACCUUCUUCAGUAAUAUAUUUAGUGAAUCUAUGUUGUAAGUUAUCAUUAGAUGAAGGAUUUGUAAACUAAUAUGUUGUAUAUACAAACAGAUUUUUUCGAGAAAAUAUAUAAAUACAGA
Triticum dicoccoides is the source of this 1349-nucleotide long non-coding RNA. RefSeq lists it as uncharacterized. The record is from RefSeq and is a predicted model, not a curated record. Lineage: Eukaryota; Viridiplantae; Streptophyta; Magnoliopsida; Poales; Poaceae. The transcript has 3 exons.